This is a non-coding RNA of Pelobates cultripes (western spadefoot toad), 279 nucleotides long. Lineage: Eukaryota; Metazoa; Chordata; Amphibia; Anura; Pelobatidae. The record is from the annotation of a GenBank genome assembly.
UGUGAGGGGGUUACUAGUGACAGAGUGAGGGAAGGGGUGACUAGUGGCAGAGUGAGGGAAGGAAGGGGUGACUAGUGACAGAGUGAGGAAGGUGGUGACUGUUACUAGUCACCACCUCCCUCUGUCACUACUCCCUCCCUCCUUCUGUCACUACUCCCUCCCUUCUUCUGUCACUAGUCACCCCCUCCCUCACCCUGUCACCAGUCAUCCCCUCCCUCACUCUGUCACCAGUCAUCCCCUUCCCUCACUCUGUCACCCCCUCACUCUAGUGACAGAGUG